AUCCUUUUGUAGUUUGUAAGCAUGAUGAUUGGGGUUUCACGCUUAUGUGUGAGACGCGCCUCCCUUAAAUCUUGUUAUGAUGUCAGCACAUUACCCAUCUGAUG
Molecule: small nucleolar RNA, 104 nt
Organism: Piliocolobus tephrosceles (Ugandan red Colobus)
Lineage: Eukaryota; Metazoa; Chordata; Mammalia; Primates; Cercopithecidae
Product: small nucleolar RNA U13
Exons: 1
Source: RefSeq, a predicted model, not a curated record